Molecule: ribosomal RNA, 2904 nt
Filed under: Escherichia coli
Lineage: Bacteria; Pseudomonadati; Pseudomonadota; Gammaproteobacteria; Enterobacterales; Enterobacteriaceae
Description: 23S ribosomal RNA
Rfam family: Bacterial large subunit ribosomal RNA
Source: RNAcentral
GGUUAAGCGACUAAGCGUACACGGUGGAUGCCCUGGCAGUCAGAGGCGAUGAAGGACGUGCUAAUCUGCGAUAAGCGUCGGUAAGGUGAUAUGAACCGUUAUAACCGGCGAUUUCCGAAUGGGGAAACCCAGUGUGAUUCGUCACACUAUCAUUAACUGAAUCCAUAGGUUAAUGAGGCGAACCGGGGGAACUGAAACAUCUAAGUACCCCGAGGAAAAGAAAUCAACCGAGAUUCCCCCAGUAGCGGCGAGCGAACGGGGAGCAGCCCAGAGCCUGAAUCAGUGUGUGUGUUAGUGGAAGCGUCUGGAAAGGCGCGCGAUACAGGGUGACAGCCCCGUACACAAAAAUGCACAUACUGUGAGCUCGAUGAGUAGGGCGGGACACGUGGUAUCCUGUCUGAAUAUGGGGGGACCAUCCUCCAAGGCUAAAUACUCCUGACUGACCGAUAGUGAACCAGUACCGUGAGGGAAAGGCGAAAAGAACCCCGGCGAGGGGAGUGAAAAAGAACCUGAAACCGUGUACGUACAAGCAGUGGGAGCACGCUUAGGCGUGUGACUGCGUACCUUUUGUAUAAUGGGUCAGCGACUUAUAUUCUGUAGCAAGGUUAACCGAAUAGGGGAGCCGAAGGGAAACCGAGUCUUAACUGGGCGUUAAGUUGCAGGGUAUAGACCCGAAACCCGGUGAUCUAGCCAUGGGCAGGUUGAAGGUUGGGUAACACUAACUGGAGGACCGAACCGACUAAUGUUGAAAAAUUAGCGGAUGACUUGUGGCUGGGGGUGAAAGGCCAAUCAAACCGGGAGAUAGCUGGUUCUCCCCGAAAGCUAUUUAGGUAGCGCCUCGUGAAUUCAUCUCCGGGGGUAGAGCACUGUUUCGGCAAGGGGGUCAUCCCGACUUACCAACCCGAUGCAAACUGCGAAUACCGGAGAAUGUUAUCACGGGAGACACACGGCGGGUGCUAACGUCCGUCGUGAAGAGGGAAACAACCCAGACCGCCAGCUAAGGUCCCAAAGUCAUGGUUAAGUGGGAAACGAUGUGGGAAGGCCCAGACAGCCAGGAUGUUGGCUUAGAAGCAGCCAUCAUUUAAAGAAAGCGUAAUAGCUCACUGGUCGAGUCGGCCUGCGCGGAAGAUGUAACGGGGCUAAACCAUGCACCGAAGCUGCGGCAGCGACGCUUAUGCGUUGUUGGGUAGGGGAGCGUUCUGUAAGCCUGCGAAGGUGUGCUGUGAGGCAUGCUGGAGGUAUCAGAAGUGCGAAUGCUGACAUAAGUAACGAUAAAGCGGGUGAAAAGCCCGCUCGCCGGAAGACCAAGGGUUCCUGUCCAACGUUAAUCGGGGCAGGGUGAGUCGACCCCUAAGGCGAGGCCGAAAGGCGUAGUCGAUGGGAAACAGGUUAAUAUUCCUGUACUUGGUGUUACUGCGAAGGGGGGACGGAGAAGGCUAUGUUGGCCGGGCGACGGUUGUCCCGGUUUAAGCGUGUAGGCUGGUUUUCCAGGCAAAUCCGGAAAAUCAAGGCUGAGGCGUGAUGACGAGGCACUACGGUGCUGAAGCAACAAAUGCCCUGCUUCCAGGAAAAGCCUCUAAGCAUCAGGUAACAUCAAAUCGUACCCCAAACCGACACAGGUGGUCAGGUAGAGAAUACCAAGGCGCUUGAGAGAACUCGGGUGAAGGAACUAGGCAAAAUGGUGCCGUAACUUCGGGAGAAGGCACGCUGAUAUGUAGGUGAAGUGAUUUACUCAUGGAGCUGAAAUCAGUCGAAGAUACCAGCUGGCUGCAACUGUUUAUUAAAAACACAGCACUGUGCAAACACGAAAGUGGACGUAUACGGUGUGACGCCUGCCCGGUGCCGGAAGGUUAAUUGAUGGGGUUAGCGCAAGCGAAGCUCUUGAUCGAAGCCCCGGUAAACGGCGGCCGUAACUAUAACGGUCCUAAGGUAGCGAAAUUCCUUGUCGGGUAAGUUCCGACCUGCACGAAUGGCGUAAUGAUGGCCAGGCUGUCUCCACCCGAGACUCAGUGAAAUUGAACUCGCUGUGAAGAUGCAGUGUACCCGCGGCAAGACGGAAAGACCCCGUGAACCUUUACUAUAGCUUGACACUGAACAUUGAGCCUUGAUGUGUAGGAUAGGUGGGAGGCUUUGAAGUGUGGACGCCAGUCUGCAUGGAGCCGACCUUGAAAUACCACCCUUUAAUGUUUGAUGUUCUAACGUGGACCCGUAAUCCGGGUUGCGGACAGUGUCUGGUGGGUAGUUUGACUGGGGCGGUCUCCUCCUAAAGAGUAACGGAGGAGCACGAAGGUUGGCUAAUCCUGGUCGGACAUCAGGAGGUUAGUGCAAUGGCAUAAGCCAGCUUGACUGCGAGCGUGACGGCGCGAGCAGGUGCGAAAGCAGGUCAUAGUGAUCCGGUGGUUCUGAAUGGAAGGGCCAUCGCUCAACGGAUAAAAGGUACUCCGGGGAUAACAGGCUGAUACCGCCCAAGAGUUCAUAUCGACGGCGGUGUUUGGCACCUCGAUGUCGGCUCAUCACAUCCUGGGGCUGAAGUAGGUCCCAAGGGUAUGGCUGUUCGCCAUUUAAAGUGGUACGCGAGCUGGGUUUAGAACGUCGUGAGACAGUUCGGUCCCUAUCUGCCGUGGGCGCUGGAGAAUUGAGGGGGGCUGCUCCUAGUACGAGAGGACCGGAGUGGACGCAUCACUGGUGUUCGGGUUGUCAUGCCAAUGGCACUGCCCGGUAGCUAAAUGCGGAAGAGAUAAGUGCUGAAAGCAUCUAAGCACGAAACUUGCCCCGAGAUGAGUUCUCCCUGACUCCUUGAGAGUCCUGAAGGAACGUUGAAGACGACGACGUUGAUAGGCCGGGUGUGUAAGCGCAGCGAUGCGUUGAGCUAACCGGUACUAAUGAACCGUGAGGCUUAACCUU